AACGAACGCUGGCGGCAGGCCUAACACAUGCAAGUCGAACGAUAAGCCACCUUCGGGUGGUGGACAGUGGCAGACGGGUGAGUAACGCGUGGGAACGUGCCUUUCGGUUCGGAAUAACCCAGGGAAACUUGGGCUAAUACCGGAUAUCCCCUACGGGGGAAAGAUUUAUCGCCCCUGGACGGGCCCGCGUCCGAUUAGCUAGUUGGUGAGGUAAUGGCUCACCAAGGCGACGAUCGGUAGCUGGUCUGAGAGGACGACCAGCCACACUGGAACUGAGACACGGUCCAGACUCCUACGGGAGGCAGCAGUGGGGAAUAUUGGGCAAUGGAGGCAACUCUGACCCAGCCAUGCCGCGUGGGUGACGAAGGUCUUCGGAUUGUAAAGCCCUUUCGGCGGGGACGAUGAUGACGGUACCCGCAGAAGAAG
RNAcentral lists this ribosomal RNA (426 nucleotides) under uncultured bacterium. RNAcentral's name for it is "bacterial SSU rRNA". It matches the Rfam family "Bacterial small subunit ribosomal RNA", at positions 29 to 490 of the family's 1533-position model. The record is from RNAcentral.